RNAcentral lists this ribosomal RNA (231 nucleotides) under Bacillus sp. 435a_13D. RNAcentral's name for it is "partial 16S ribosomal RNA". It matches the Rfam family "Bacterial small subunit ribosomal RNA", at positions 130 to 354 of the family's 1533-position model. The record is from RNAcentral. Lineage: Bacteria; Bacillati; Bacillota; Bacilli; Caryophanales; Bacillaceae.
CUGUAAGACUGGGAUAACUCCGGGAAACCGGAGCUAAUACCGGAUAGUUCCUUGAACCGCAUGGUUCAAGGAUGAAAGACGGUUUCGGCUGUCACUUACAGAUGGACCCGCGGCGCAUUAGCUAGUUGGUGGGGUAAUGGCUCACCAAGGCGACGAUGCGUAGCCGACCUGAGAGGGUGAUCGGCCACACUGGGACUGAGACACGGCCCAGACUCCUACGGGAGGCAGCAG